CUCCAGMAAUVCCGCGUGCAGGAUGAAGCCUUCGGGUUGUAAACUKCUUUUGUMCGGAACGAAACGGYYCGCUUUAAUACAGUGGGCUAAUGACGGUACCGUAAGAAUAAGCACCGGCUAACUACGUGCCAGCAGCCGCGGUAAUACGUAGGGUGCGAGCGUUAAUCGGAAUUACUGGGCGWAAAGCGUGCGCAGGCGGUUAUAUAAGACAGAUGUGAAAUCCCUGGGCUCAACCUAGGACCUGCAUUUGWAGACURUUAUAGCUAGAGUACGGUAGAGGGGGAAUUGGAAUUCCGCGUGUAGCAGUGAAAUGCGUAGAUAUGCGGAGGAACACCGAUAGGCGAAGGCAAUCCCCUGGACCUGUACUGACGCUCAUGCACGSKAA
This 385-nucleotide ribosomal RNA is filed under the name uncultured beta proteobacterium. RNAcentral describes it as "partial 16S ribosomal RNA". It matches the Rfam family "Bacterial small subunit ribosomal RNA", at positions 386 to 759 of the family's 1533-position model. The record is from RNAcentral. Lineage: Bacteria; Pseudomonadati; Pseudomonadota; Betaproteobacteria.